RNAcentral lists this ribosomal RNA (497 nucleotides) under uncultured bacterium. RNAcentral's name for it is "partial 16S ribosomal RNA". It matches the Rfam family "Bacterial small subunit ribosomal RNA", at positions 28 to 507 of the family's 1533-position model. The record is from RNAcentral.
GACGAACGCUGGCGGCGUGGCUAAUACAUGCAAGUAGAACGCUGAAGCGAGGAGCUUACUCUUCUUGGAUGAGUUGCGAACGGGUGAGUAACGCGUAGGUAACCUGCCUUGUAGCGGGGGAUAACUAUUGGAAACGAUAGCUAAUACCGCAUAACAAUGGAUGACACAUGUCAUUUAUUUGAAAGGGGCAAUUGCUCCACUACAAGAUGGACCUGCGUUGUAUUAGCUAGUAGGUGAGGUAAUGGCUCACCUAGGCGACGAUACAUAGCCGACCUGAGAGGGUGAUCGGCCGCACUGGGACUGAGACACGGCCCAGACUCCUACGGGAGGCAGCAGUAGGGAAUCUUCGGCAAUGGGGGCAACCCUGACCGAGCAACGCCGCGUGAGUGAAGAAGGUUUUCGGAUCGUAAAGCUCUGUUGUAAGUCAAGAACGGGUGUGAGAGUGGAAAGUUCACACUGUGACGGUAGCUUACCAGAAAGGGACGGCUAACUACGUG